This 434-nucleotide long non-coding RNA is filed under the name Phasianus colchicus (ring-necked pheasant). Its description in RNAcentral is "lncRNA (ENSPCLG00000005558.1)". The record is from RNAcentral. Lineage: Eukaryota; Metazoa; Chordata; Aves; Galliformes; Phasianidae.
AUAGAGAAAAAUAGGCAUAUUCUCUCUGGCAUCAAACAAGCAUACAUGACCCUUCUCUUUUUUAGACAGCCAUUUCCACUCAACUCCAUUGCAGAUUGGCAGAUCAGAGCAGAGAGGACGGCACAGAAAGAAAAUCAGCAGAUACAGGGACAACAGAGUUACAGAAGACGGUGACAAAAUGCAGAGAAUACUGAGGGUGUUGUAGAAGUUUAUAUCAAGAGAAAGAACCCCAAGGAUUGAAAAGAAAAAAUAGAGGCUGGGAUUAGAGCCAAACUGAGGAAAACUGAUGCAGUCUGUCAGCAAGCCCUCAGUAUCACUGCUUAAUACCCAAUUGAGGAAUAACUGGGAGCACUCACUGGUGCAUAUAGCCACUAGGAUUGCUUCUAUCAUGCAUAUCCUGCAAAACAUUUGUGCAAAACACCCACACAAUAAAC